GAAAUGCGAUAAGUAGUGUGAAUUGCAGAAUUCAGUGAAUCAUCGAAUCUUUGAACGCACAUUGCGCCCUUUGGUAUUCCAAAGGGCAUGCCUGUUCGAGCGUCAUUUGUACCCUCAAGCUUUGCUUGGUGUUGGGCGUCUUGUCUCUAGCUUUGCUGGAGACUCACCUUAAAGUAAUUGGCAGCCGGCCUACUGGUUUCGGAGCGCAGCACAAGUCGCACUCUCUAUCAGCAAAGGUCUAGCAUCCAUUAAGCCUUUUUUUCAACUUUUGACCUCGGAUCAGGUAGGGAUACCCGCUGAACUUAAGC
This 308-nucleotide unclassified non-coding RNA is filed under the name plant metagenome. Its description in RNAcentral is "partial contains 5.8S ribosomal RNA, internal transcribed spacer 2, and large subunit ribosomal RNA". The stretch from base 1 to 105 matches the Rfam family "5.8S ribosomal RNA", at positions 50 to 154 of the family's 154-position model. The record is from RNAcentral.